Molecule: ribosomal RNA, 422 nt
Filed under: Potamonautes ecorssei
Lineage: Eukaryota; Metazoa; Arthropoda; Malacostraca; Decapoda; Potamonautidae
Description: partial 16S ribosomal RNA
Rfam family: Bacterial large subunit ribosomal RNA (bases 297-422)
Source: RNAcentral
UUUUUAAUUGAGAUCUUGUAUGAAUGAUUGAACAAAAGAAAUUCUGUCUUUACAUUAGAGUUUGAAUUUAACUUUUAAGUGAAAAGGCUUGAAUGUUCUAAAGGGACGAUAAGACCCUAUAAAACUUUAUAUUAAUUUAUAUUUUAUUAAAUUUUUUUAUAAUAAUUGAAUUUAAUUUUUUUAUUUUGUUGGGGUGACAGAAGCUAUAAAUUAUACUAACUGCUUCAAGUUAAGUCAAAAAUAAAUGUAAAGUAAUUAGGUCCUUUAUAUGGAUUAAGAGAUUAAGUUACUUUAGGGAUAACAGCGUAAUUUUUUUUGAGAGUUCAUAUCGAAAAAAAAGAUUGCGACCUCGAUGUUGAAUUAAAAAAUCUUUGUAGUGCAGGUGUUACAGGAGAAGGUCUGUUCGACCUUUAAUUUUUUAC